ACGGGUGAGUAAUGCCUAGGAAUCUGCCUGGUAGUGGGGGAUAACGUUCGGAAACGGACGCUAAUACCGCAUACGUCCUACGGGAGAAAGCAGGGGACCUUCGGGCCUUGCGCUAUCAGAUGAGCCUAGGUCGGAUUAGCUAGUUGGUGAGGUAAUGGCUCACCAAGGCGACGAUCCGUAACUGGUCUGAGAGGAUGAUCAGUCACACUGGAACUGAGACACGGUCCAGACUCCUACGGGAGGCAGCAGUGGGGAAUAUUGGACAAUGGGCGAAAGCCUGAUCCAGCCAUGCCGCGUGUGUGAAGAAGGUCUUCGGAUUGUAAAGCACUUUAAGUUGGGAGGAAGGGCCAUUACCUAAUACGUGAUGGUUUUGACGUUACCGACAGAAUAAGCACCGGCUAACUCUGUGCCAGCAGCCGCGGUAAUACAGAGGGUGCAAGCGUUAAUCGGAAUUACUGGGCGUAAAGCGCGCGUAGGUGGUUUGUUAAGUUGGAUGUGAAAUCCCCGGGCUCAACCUGGGAACUGCAUUCAAAACUGACUGACUAGAGUAUGGUAGAGGGUGGUGGAAUUUCCUGUGUAGCGGU
Molecule: ribosomal RNA, 584 nt
Filed under: Pseudomonas sp. StFLB063
Lineage: Bacteria; Pseudomonadati; Pseudomonadota; Gammaproteobacteria; Pseudomonadales; Pseudomonadaceae
Description: bacterial SSU rRNA
Rfam family: Bacterial small subunit ribosomal RNA
Source: RNAcentral